ACGCACGCUGGCGGCGUGCUUCACACAUGCAAGUCGCACGCUGAAGCUUGGUGCUUGCACUGGGUGGAUGAGUGGCGAACGGGUGAGUAAUACGUGAGUAACCUGCCCUUGACUCUGGGAUAAGCCUGGGAAACUGGGUCUAAUACUGGAUACGACAUGUCACCGCAUGGUGGUGUGUGGAAAGGGUUUUACUGGUUUUGGAUGGGCUCACGGCCUAUCAGCUUGUUGGUGGGGUAAUGGCUCACCAAGGCGACGACGGGUAGCCGGCCUGAGAGGGUGACCGGCCACACUGGGACUGAGACACGGCCCAGACUCCUACGGGAGGCAGCAGUGGGGAAUAUUGCACAAUGGGCGGGAGCCUGAUGCAGCGACGCCGCGUGAGGGAUGACGGCCUUCGGGUUGUAAACCUCUUUCAGCACGGAAGAAGCGAAAGUGACGGUACGUGAAGAAGAAGCGCCGGCUAACUACGUG
Molecule: ribosomal RNA, 471 nt
Filed under: uncultured bacterium
Lineage: Bacteria
Description: partial 16S ribosomal RNA
Rfam family: Bacterial small subunit ribosomal RNA
Source: RNAcentral